RNAcentral lists this ribosomal RNA (465 nucleotides) under Vreelandella stevensii. Its description in RNAcentral is "partial 16S ribosomal RNA". It matches the Rfam family "Bacterial small subunit ribosomal RNA", at positions 338 to 795 of the family's 1533-position model. Lineage: Bacteria; Pseudomonadati; Pseudomonadota; Gammaproteobacteria; Oceanospirillales; Halomonadaceae. The record is from RNAcentral.
CCUACGGGGGGCUGCAGUGGGGAAUAUUGGACAAUGGGGGCAACCCUGAUCCAGCCAUGCCGCGUGUGUGAAGAAGGCCCUCGGGUUGUAAAGCACUUUCAGUGAGGAAGAACGCCUGGUGGUUAAUACCCAUCAGGAAAGACAUCACUCACAGAAGAAGCACCGGCUAACUCCGUGCCAGCAGCCGCGGUAAUACGGAGGGUGCGAGCGUUAAUCGGAAUUACUGGGCGUAAAGCGCGCGUAGGUGGCUUGAUAAGCCGGUUGUGAAAGCCCCGGGCUCAACCUGGGAACGGCAUCCGGAACCGUCAAGCUAGAGUGCAGGAGAGGAAGGUAGAAUUCCCGGUGUAGCGGUGAAAUGCGUAGAGAUCGGGAGGAAUACCAGUGGCGAAGGCGGCCUUCUGGACUGACACUGACACUGAGGUGCGAAAGCGUGGGUAGCAAACAGGAUUAGAUACCCCGGUAGUC